RNAcentral lists this long non-coding RNA (22119 nucleotides) under Ananas comosus (pineapple). Its description in RNAcentral is "long non-coding RNA (ACOM_LNC028075)". The record is from RNAcentral. Lineage: Eukaryota; Viridiplantae; Streptophyta; Magnoliopsida; Poales; Bromeliaceae.
AAGAUUGCAUAAUGGAAGGUAUCUCAAAGCAACCCAUAAACACAUCUAUGCUUAUUACCAUGCAUUCAUAUUCAAUCCAUUUGUUACAUCAAAAUUCGUUCCAUUUACGAUUCAACAUUAGCUUUCAUGUAACUUCCAGAACUACAAAUUCCAUUGUAACAAAGCGAAUAUUAUUGACAACUUGUUCUUUUGUCAUUCUUUACAUCCCUUAAGUAAGGCCGAUCAGGGUACCGUAUCUCUGGUCUCUGGUGUAGGGGCGCUAUGCUAUUUGGAGCUACUGCCUCGCCUCGCGCCGCCGGCCCGCCGCUCACGGUGCGAAACCGGGUGUUAACACCCCAAAACCACGUGCGGGUGAAACCCAACUCCAUGGUUCCCAGUGGUACGGCAUCCUAAGGGGAAAAGGCUCUUUCACCAAAUUAGGUCUCCAAGGGAGACAACUGCAAGUUAGUAUCAAUAGAAGGCAGAGUAGACGUCAUAUAUCUCGUAUUAGUGGCCCAACUAAUAAAACCAUGCUGAUUGCCCUCGACGAAUGAAAUCAAUGCAUGCUUAUAUUGCGAAUCAUGCACAUAUUACAAGUAGACAUAAAUGUUUUACUUUGUAUCAUGCUAUCAUGGCUUUUCUCAUAAUUGUAACAUCUUAUCCUUUACCAUCAUUGGUUAUGUUGCCUCCUAAGGUUUUUCACUCUAGCCAAGGCUAACACCCGACUCGCGGGGUCUUCGGUCAAUCAACUGCGGGUAAUACCGCCCAAAACUUAGCUCAGGUGGAGGCAUGGGGACCGUCUAAUAGCACCUUCAACCUAGAAUGCCUUCUCAACUGCGGAUACCAAGAAACCGUAACACAGUAAUGCUGUACUUCAGUUGGGUUUUGGACCCAUGCUUAGCCGGCUUAACAUUGUUAACCCCAAUAACUCAUAGACCCAAAAUCCCUUAUAUUAGCGGGGGAUCGAACUCCUAGGGACCGUCUUCUGGGGGGACUUUACACGGCCCCAGGUUGGGUGGACCACUCCGGAGGGCACCGCGGGCGAGGGGGGAGCUGACCUCCCUCAAGCCAAGGACUGUUAUUCGGGGUGAGUUAUCGAUCAAUGCCUCAACUUGGAGGGCAUUCAUAGCCAACUAGUCACAAUGGCCAAUGUACAAUAGGGUUUCUACCUAUUUCGAAUCAUGCCUACUCUAUGUCAAUUGGUCCGGUGGGCCACUCUUGGGGUUACAAGCUUGUUUACACAACUGGUUCAUCAUGCAUAUCAAUGUCUUUAUUGUCAAUGUCGGCGUUGUGUUACUAAUGUCAAAUCAAACUCUCACUCACACAAUAAUAGUUCGCGCUAACGCAUACAUUCUAUUGAUGGUCUACCCUUUCUCUUGUUCGAACUACGUUAGAGAACAUGUGCAUUGAAAGUAACAAGGUCACAUGUACUUGCCCGUGUUAUGUAUGAACUGGGACUACAAAUGAUAUUUAAUGCCUCAUGCCACAGUUGUUUUGCUAGGUUCAUGACACGUAGUUCACAAACGUUAUACUUGUUCAAGCUUAUGUUUCAAUUACACUAGGUUUAAUUUGCCAGCUUGGAUGCUCAAACGACUGUUCUUUGGCUAGGUUCAUAUCCCUCCAUGUCGCACCUAUGUCCGAUGACUUCUAGGUUUAAUGCACUCGGAUCUAAUUGUUAAGAGUUGUCCCCCCAUAUGCCACAUUUCAUUUUCUUAACAUUAAGUAUCUCCUACAACCAUGAUAUCAAAGCUAUAUCUUAGCAUUAGUCAUCAUAUAUCUUGAGCAUUAGGGCACGAUGCCUUGAUUUAUUAUUCUUACAUCAUGCUUAUAUACCACUUCUAGCAUUUGGAUUCCAAAGUGCAUGCUUGAUCAUGUGAAGCAUUUAGACAGUUGAUCAAUGCAUUCUCUAGCACUUAUUUACACUAAGUCGUUCAUGCGUUUCCGGGCUACUGGUUAUCAUGGUUCUAUAAAUGUUCACCAUUCAAUGCCCUUUAUUCUUAUGCAUUUCAAGCUUAUCACAUGUUUAUCUAGCUUUCUAUAAUAUGUUACGAAUGCAUUUCUUGUUCAAUAUUAUAUGAUAACAGUGCAUCAAUUGAAACUCGAUUUCUUAGACGGAUAAGAGGGACGAACUAGUGCGCUUCGGGUCAGAGCACAACCCACCUCACCUUUCGCAUCGGAUUGCUUGAUCGACCUUGCAGCCCGCCUCGGACCGCCCGCGGGCGACCCGGAUCGGUUUGCCGAUCCCCUCACGGCGGACCACCGACGGAGCGGGGCGCCUUAAUUCACGAUUCGGAAAUUUAAAGGUCUUCGUGUUAUGGUGCCCGACGAUACUUCAAACCAUUUUCAUGAAUUUACGAUAUCGCCUCGGACCUCCAGGCGGAAAACGAAGCCGUAAACAAUCCGAUUUCUUUAAUAAGUUCGAACGGGCUCGACGAAUCGCGACCGUCUCGCCACGCAAUUCGUUUGUACCUAGCAAUUUGGUUUACGGAGGCGUCAAAUGAGUGCAAAUCAUACCUUUUACAAAACCUCAUUCGGAGCCGCUAACAUGCACAUUAACUAAACAUAAUCCAAAUUAAAUAGAGCAAGACAUGUUUAGAAUGCGUUCGUUUAGAGGCUAUUAGAGACACUUAAACUAAGGAUAAGCGCAAAUCCUAAGCCUUAACACAAUGUGAAUGCCGCGACGAAAAGACGCCGUACAACGGGCGCGCGAAAGCUCGAGUCCGUCGCUCCCACCGCGUUCGGCGAGAUUCUUCUCACCAACGCAUGCGAAUAUUGACGCGAGGAGAGUGAUGGAGGAGAUGAGAGGAAAAUCUAGAGGAGGGAGGAAUUUUGAAGGUUUCUCUCAUAGCACCAUGCGUGCGUGUGUGGGUGUCGGGAGGCUGAAGGAGAGAAGAAGGAAGCGUUCCAGCUUUUUAUAAUACAACCCCAAGACUAGCUAGUUCCACUCCCUGGCGGGCAGCUUGAAAUCUGAUAACUUUUCGCCGGAGGCUCCCUUGGAGUGUCGUUUGGCUCAGAAUGACAGUCAUUAUUGUUUGCUACGAUUAGCUGAAAAGUAAGCAGAUACGUAUUUUCAGUUUUCAUUUCUCGACCCCAUUUGGUUCACCGAAACUUGUGCCGAACUGUAAUCAUUAUCAGCAUAGCUGGUCGGAUUUUAUUUCUAUUCUACGGUGGUUCAGAAAAAAUCUUGAAACCUGUUAAAUCUAGCCUCAUAAAAACUUAUUUUCGGACUUAUCGCUCCAAUUUUCAUAUUUUCUGGAGACUGUGCAUUUUCUGCUAAUUGCUAUCUGUCUUGCUUUCCAGACAGAGAAAUUGCGGUAAAUCUUCUGUGUUUUCAUUCGAUUUCCAGCACAACGUCACUUCUGCGCUUAUUGUUGCGUUUAUUCUAACAAUCAAUAAGAUCCAGCACCAAGUUUCUCACACGUAUUUUUAUUUAUUUUUAUUUUUACAAAUGGGCUGGUAUGUUACACCUGGACUUUUUUGGUUAAGUCCUGGGGGGUUUCACUCUCGGGGACCGGGUCCGCUGGGGGUGGGUGAGUGUUGGAACCCCACGAUAAGUCCUCAUCAUAUAAGAGUUAUAAUAGGGCUAAACUUCUAAUAACCCGACUUAAGCAUUUUUGCGGGUGGUGGCCUAGACCCAAGAGGCUAAGGAGAGUUAAGCUGCUAAGUACCGGGAGUAGUCCGUAGGAUGGGUGACCCCUGGGAGAGUCGCGAGUGUCACAGGAUGGUAUCAGAGCCCAUUACCAGCGGUAGUGUGAGAUGACGUCUCGGCUGAGCCAGGAGUUGUGAUGACGGGCUAGCGAGACGAGUCUCACAUCGCCUGGUACUUGUGAGUCUGAGCCUGACGAGGACGUCAGGGCUUAAAGGGGGGGAGAUUGUGAGACCCCAGAUAGUCCUAUAUAUAAGAUAUAAUAGGGCUAAACUCUUAACCCGGCUUAAGCAUUUUGGGUGGUGGCUAGACCCAAGAGGUUAAGAGAGUUAAGCAUGCUAGGACCGGAGUAGUCCUAGGAUGGGUGACCCCCUGGGAAGUCGCAGUGUCACAGUGAGAGACCGGUCCCCUGUUGCGUGGAUGCGGCUGUUUGCCGAGGCAACCGGUCCCCUGGCCAGGGAGACCGGUUCUCGAACGUGUGUUUUGCGGGAGGGUCCGAGAGACCGGUCCCAGGUGCGGGGAGACCGGUCCCUCAUCCCGAAAACUGCCCAGACCUGGCAGUGCACUGUUUUGACAGUUGAGGAGGCUUAGUGGAUUUUGUUACUUUAGAGGGCUUUUAGGGCUUUUCCUCUCUCUCUUUCCCUCACUUUUCACUCUCUCACACUCUUUAGAAAGAGAAGAAGAAGGAGAAGAAAGAAAGGGAAGAAUGAGGAGAAGAUGAAGAGAGCAAGGUGGACUUUGUACUUCCCCCACACCCUCUCUUCUCACCAUUGGUGGCUUGGAGCCUGGGCUAAGAGCUUGAUAGAGGAUCAACCUUCAACCCUAGAGCAUUUUGAGCUUGCUUUAGAGCUACCAAGGAGGUUAGUAUGCUUAAUCUACUCUUUGGAGCAUGUUUUGGUAGGUUUUACCAAAUGAAACCCUAGAUUUGAGAUUUAGGGUUUAUUUUUGAGGCUUUGAUUAAAACUUUUGGAGCUCUAUUGAUUGGUUGAGAACCUUGGUAUAGGUUGCUUUGGAAGGGAUUUUGGCUUCCAUUUGGGAUUUCUUAGAGGAUUUCUACGCUAUCGGUGAGUUUUUCACCCUUAUGCAUGAGUUGCUUAAUGUUGAGUUUUGGGAUGUUCGUAAGGUUCAUUUAACUCUUGUUCCUACAUCUUUUUGGUGCUAGGAGACUAGUGGGCACCUUCGUCGGAGCAAACGAAGGGUCGCAAGAGUUGUGGUAGGUUUGACUUUAUGAAAUCAGGGCAAAAUGGCCCCUAUGUGUAUUACACUUGUCGUAACGUCAAUUUGAUUGCAUAUUCAUGCUAAAUGGGAUUUAUGUGAAUUUUAGAACACUUAAAAUGCAUGUGUUAUAUAUAAUAAAAAUUUCACUCUAUAUAGUGGAGCUAUAUGUGUAGGCUGCAUGUAUGUGGAAGUGUUUAUCUUUGCGAGUUGAUUACAUGUCUCGUGUGAGGGAAAUGAUUAGAAUUAUGUAUUCAUGAACAUAAUUAUCAUGCUUUGACUUAGUGAACAAAAGUGUCAUGAAGGGGCACAUGAACUAGCAAAUUGAAAAACUGCAAUAUAGAGACAUAGUGAUAGGCCAUUGACAUCUACUAUAUUUCAUGUUUUAGACAUGAUGAUAUAGAGAUAGGCCCUUGUGACAUUUGAUAUAUUCCAUAUUUUAGACAUGAUGACUUGAGACUUGAGACUUGAGACCUGAGACUUGAGACGGAUCUUACGCUUGCUUGCCAUUGUGCUCAUUCGCACAUGCUUGUGAGGGUCGCUCCCUACAAGCCGGCACUCCGGAGAUGGCCAUCGCGAUACAUAUUCGCCGUGCGGGAUUGGGCGCCGAAGUGGAUUGUCGUGGGGAAGGCUUAUUCCUAUAAUGGGGAUGUUGACUACCACGGGGCCAUUAGGCUCGGCACUGGCCAGACAGCCUACGGGUGGGUCUACAGGCCAGACAGCCUUCGGGCGGGUCUUCAAAGAUUUAACUUUAAGUAGUUAACAUGCCAAGUGAACAUUGACUAGAAGAGUAGACAAUGACAUUUUACUAUCACAUUGUGGACAUUAUGAUGGUUGUAUUCUCGUGCAUUUUCAUGAUAGAAUAGCUUUCUUACUUAUGCAAUUCCAUGCUAAGUAGAGACCUCAUGUGGUAGCAAGUACUCAUGUUUAUUUAUUUGUCGUAUAUAUCGCUUUUGCUUAUACUUGUACAGACCCUUUUCCAGUUUUGGGCCUAGCAUGGCGCUUUUCACUGAAGUCAGUAAUUGCCCACUGGGAACUAUUAUUUAAUAGUUCUCACGCCAUAUGUUUUAUGAUUUUAUUUCAGAGCCUUCGGCAUCGGCGGAGGCACGGGAUCGCGGCAAGGGUGUCGCCUAGCUAGAUAGCGGGAAGCUACUUGCUCUUAGGUGGUUACUCUCUUUUUGUGUUUUGUGAGAGAGAGAGAUUUUUGUACCAUGUAUAGAGACCACCUAUGUACUAUUUUAGCUCUUGUUUUUGGAUAUCUAUCGUAUUACUUAUGACUUUUAUUUAGUGGCUUUGAACUUCUUUUACCUUAUCAUGAUGUAGAAAUCUAGUUAUACUUUGCUCUGAUACUCCUAGAUGCUCUUUUACUAUUGCUUUAUUUAUCGUUUUAUUGUAGACGCCUUAUAUGUUUUAGACAUAUGGCGGCGGGUUUGGGCACGCGCCGGGCGGGCUUCCGCUGGGUCCCAGGGCGUGACAAAAACAUAAGCCGAAGAAGCGCCUUCGGCCUGUUGGGAUUGCGAAUGUGGUCUCUUGACGACUGACUUACACCGCUUUGGAGGCAGCGGAGGAGUAGUUGUGUAGUUUCAAUCGGUCUUUUUUCUGAAGCUGGGACCGAUGGAGAAACUGGAACUGACUGCAGAUAAAAACAGAUAAAGAAAAAUAAGCGUCACUUGAACUAAGAAAAGAAAAGUGAAAGUAAAUAAGAGUUUAUUACAGAAGAAGAAGGUGAGACAUCAGAGGCAGUAUCAAAAAUCUAAUCUGAUUCUUCUUUCGGUACAAUUGGAGUAGCAGGAUCAACUGGAAGAUCCUUGCUUGGAAAAGGUACUGUUGUAGCUGAGAGACAAAUAAGUAAAAAACUAUAAAAAAAAAACUAUUGUUAUAAAAAGAAAGGAAAAUAAUUAUAAGCAAGAAUUGUAUCAAUUGGGAGAAUAGUCUGGCGAUACGCUUGUGUUGCAGAUCAGCUGAAAAUGUGAUAGGCAAAAUGAUCUCAGGUGACGGUAUAGCGAAAACCUACCACCCAUGUAUAAUUCGGCCUGAAGCUCACUAAUUUGAAGAACCGCCGAAGGUGAUUCCCCAUAGCCGAAAUUCGAUCAGCUUCGGCUAUACUUUUGGUAGAGGGGUCAGUUAACGACAGUAUUGGCCGUGAAGAACUUGGCUGGAGCAGGGACUGCUUGAGUAAAUCCAAAUUGACGAGCUACGAACUGAGGAGAAUAAACCUCAGUACUAUGCAACAGUUUCGAGCGCGAUUUCAUGCCAACGUGCAAAUCCCUUGUUGCCAAAAAAGAGUACCGAACAUCUUCAUAUUCGCCGGCACGAGAAGAAGCAAGUUCGUCUUGAAGGGCUUCAUACCUUGCUAGAAGCCAAGACGGGCCGGUGACACGGUCAGCCAAUGGAGACCAAUGAAUGGAGAAAUGAGGACGAGACUCAUAAAAUAUUUUAAAAUAAGAGAGAAAAUCAGAAGGGUGACCUGAUGUUAGUGGCGGAGGACAGCCGAGAGCCAGCCCGUAAGAAUCAAAAUGAGCAGCCGAACCCGUAUCCAAAGGAGUUCGGCACAAAUUAGGGAAAUAAAUCUGCAAAAACAUUUGCAAAAACCAGAAAACACCACAACCCGAACUGAUCAUUACACCGUCUCCAGAGGGUAGUGGUUUGAUGGAAUAAAAAAUUUCUCUAUAAACAAAGGUAAGAAAGUAAGGCCCAAGAGCUAAUCUGUCGCCGUUAGUUAAACCAACGACGAUUGGGAUGAAGUCCCGAUUAAUCUUCUGCGAACGAAUACAGAACAGAUUGUGACAUAACCAAUAUAGGAGGAACGCUGUGUGUUCCUUCCUAGUGACAGGAGCAGGGGAUUCACCUGCAAAUUUACGGAGAAACAUGGAAUAAGCCAAGUCAGCGAGGUCAAGGUGAGCCUCAAAGUCAGAUACGCCAUCAGGAUUGUAGGCCAUGGAGAGGGUAACACCAUGAGGCCGUAAACCAACGAUGGCAGCUACAUCUAAGAGAGUCGGAGUAAGAGGUCCCCCUUUAAAAAGAAAAAUAUUGGAAACAACAGACCAGAAACAGAGAGCAGAGGCCAAAAGAAGGUUGUCGGCUACAGGAGGCUUCCGAGAUAGCCGAAUAGCUUCAUAAAUCCCAACUUCCAGCCAAAAGUCACCAUAGGCAGCCUCCACUCGAUCUAACCAAAUCAAAGAAGCAUCUGAAACACUAGGCCAAGUUCGAAGGCUUUUUCCUGUUGAAGCCCGGGUACCAGGAAUGGAGAUGAAUGGAUUUGGCCACUAAUGGAAGACCGUCGCUAGAAUAAGGGAAAUCAUCGGCAGGCGGGUCUUCAGUAAAGGAGGGACCCAAAAUGAAUCUAGUAGGGUCCGUAACGAGAUACGAUUUGAGCAGGGUAUAAUCCAGCGAAGGACGAGUAGGUAAAGGCGGGAGCGGCUCCAUUAUUCGAAGCGAAAAGACGUUAAGGAAGAAGAGAAUGAGCAGAAGCUGUGGACGAGAGAUGGAGAAGAAGUUGAAGAGAACGAGGAAGAAGUAAAGAGAAACGAAAAAGACAAAGGUUGAGUAUAAAAGGGAAUUAGAAGCUUGGCGAAGAAGAAAGGUUGGCCGUCGUGUCGAACCGUCGCAUCGAAGCGAGUUUCGAGGACGGUUAUAAUGAUGAAUGGACGGUGAUAAUUAAGAUGACCUAAUUAAUGCCGCAUGUAAGACAAAAAUAGAUGGCGAGAUCGGGGCCGUAGAAAAGAAAUGAAUGGCUGAAACCAAACCGUACAAAGGGUUUGGAAAUUAAUUAAAUCGAGGAUCGCGCCUCAGAUUAUGUCAGCCACUCGGACAGAGAAUUUGAAAUUGAUUGGAUUGAGAACCACGCCUCGGAUCGCCCUUGUUAUUGAAGCGAUGGCGGGAUUUCAGCAGUAGAAAGAAACGGACGGUUGAGACGGAACCAUACCAAGAAUUUGAAAAGUGAUCACACCUCGGAUUACGCAAGCUACCGAAGCAUUACUUUGAAAGCUGCCGAGGGGGCAAUUGUUGAGCCAAUAAGGCGCGGACAUAUGGUACACCGGUACUCCAUUCAAUUGUAUUGAUUCGCAGUGCACCGAGAGCAUCGGAAGGAUUUAAAACCGCAUAAUUUAAAAGAAGUUACAGUAACCGCAAGCAGUUGCAAGCGGUUUCGAUCGGGCUAGAAGUGGUUCGAAAAAUUAGGAAGUAAUGGCCGAUCGUGUAAAAGCAAUAACUAAUCAAUAGGGCAAUCUAUAAAUAGAAAAAUAACGCCCUAAAAAGGGGUCUUUUUCCUGUGAACAAAAGACCGCCCUUAUUUCCUUGCAAUUUCCUACAUUUUCUAGGAGUACUCUACUUGUAACUUUUACUUUCCCGCAUUUACUGUUCUUCUUAGGAGUAGUUCAUUAAGUAGAUCAACCGAGUCUGCAUGCCAUCGAGCACACUCAACCCCUGUACUUCUUACCAGUUAAUAUAAAGGCAUUCGGCUUUUCAAGCCGACCAAUUCCUGUGUUCUUUAGUCAUUCGGCUUUUCGGCCGACUUCAGUUCUUGCUUCGUCCGUACAUUCGGCUCAUCCAGCCAAAUUGAAUUUAUUGUAGAGGUUUCAAACCCGGCUGAUUCGAUCUCUCGUCAGCCGAAUCGCUUGAUCGAUCGAAGGGCGCAAACUUCGAGGGUCACCAUCCGAAGCCGUUUUUCAUCCUGACACGCUCCCCGAGGAGGAUUUUUGACCGGGUCAAAGGUCAAGGAAUUCAGCUCGCAACAGGCUCAAAUCUGUAAAAUCCAAAAAGACGGCCUACUUUUACAAAAGCUCAAAACUAAUAGAUUUUUUAUGCAAAUUGGCCAUUAUUUUUUGAUAAUUUUGGCCAUAGGGGUUGUCUCGGGGCUUUUUUAUAAAAUAACCCUCCAAAAAUUUCAAAUUGACAAAAUAACUCUAUCAAAAUUUUAUUUGAAAAACUAACCCUCCUUUUGCCACGUUGGAUUUUUUCUAUAAAGGCGGUGAAUCAUUCACCGUCUUUCACUGUCUUAUCUGUAUUUAACUUUAGGACUUAGACAAAUUUCGAUAAAUUUGGGGUAUUUUGCACUAAAGGCGGUAAAUCAUUCACUGAUUCAUCGCCUUUAUAGCAAAAAUUUGACGUGGCGCCUACGUGGCGAAAGAAGAGUUAUUUUUCCAAAUAAAAUUUUGACAGAGUUAUUUUUCAAAAUUUAAAAUUUUGAAGGGUUAUUUUAUAAAAAAGCCCAUAGGUCUCGACUAUGGCUGGCAAAUGAGCGAGCCGGCUCGCGUUCGACUCACGUUCGACUCGAUAUUUGGCUCAAAAAUAUUUCAAGCCCACGAGCUUGAGUAUUACUCGGCUCAAGUUCGAUAAUUAGGCUCCGAAAAAGCUCGAAAAGCAUCAAUAUAUAUAUAUAUAUAUAUAUAAUAUAUAUAUUAUAUAUUAUAUAUAUAUAUAUAUAUAUAUAUAUAAUAUAUAUAUAUAUAUAGAGUAGGCUGGUAUGCUUAUGGAAGGCACGGAGCCUCCGUGCUUCCACUUUGUUUUCAAUUUUCCGGACUUUCGAAUCGACGAUCGCUCCGUUAGAGUUGACUAAGUAUUUGAAAGUACGAGAAAAUAAAUUUGUGAUUUGAUAUCAUUUGCCUAGUGAUCAAAGGACCUCAAAAUCAAUAAUUUUAAUUGCCGUGUGAGCGGUUGCAAAGUUUAACGGUGUAGAAAUAUCCAAAUCGCAUGAAAUUUUGAUAGAAAAUCUUUAUACAUAUAAAACAAGAUCAACUUUGAUCUAAAAUUUAAGUCAUAUCAUCAUAUUUGUAAGAUUUUAUUUUCACCGUUGAUUUAUUGAGCCACUUCAGAUCACCUAGGCAAAUGAUAUCGAAAAAUCGCAAAAUUAUUUUCUUAGAUACUCAAAAUACUCUAGAUCAAGUCUACAGGGCCGAUCGUCAUUCGAAAGUCCAACAUUGAAACAAAGUGAAGCACGGAGCGCUCCGUGCUUCCAUAACAGCAUACCAGACCAGCCUAUAAAUAUAAUAUAAUAUAUAUAUAUAAUAUAAUAUAUAUAUAUAUAUAUAGGAUACUAGUCCUUUCGAUUUUUCUAUAUAUAUAUAUAUAUAUAUAUAUAUAUAUAGGAUAUGGUGCUUUCGAUUUUUUGAUUCUUAGAUCAACCCCUUUAAUCAUUUCUUUGAAUUAAUACUAUUAUUAUCUUGUAGGACCACUCAAUCCUAGGGAUAUUAUUUAAACCUAGGGGGGACCGCAAUCAUCCUAACCAUAUAAUUUUUAAUCAAAGGGUCAAAAAUUCGAAAACAUCAAAUGCUCUACAUUUUCGAUAGCAUAGUAGUUCUACACUAUAUAUAUAUAUUAAAAAAUAUAUAAAUAUAAUAUAUUUUAAUUAUAUAAUAUAGGCCGAGUGAAUAAUCUGAGUUUAGUUAAAAUUGGGCCAAUGUUGUUGGCCCAUAAAAACAAACCCAAUAGACAAAUAAAAGAGCAAAACUUCACUAAAUUUAUACAUUUUUGCUUUCUUUCUUUCUUUCACAGAACUAUAAAUUUUCAAUAUGUUUUUCUCUUUAUCUUUUUCUGUCUCUCACCCUAAGCGGCCAAGUCGGAAGCCCUCCAAGUUACCAAGUAACAGCAUAUGCCUGCCGUUGCCUACCUUGCUAUUAAUUGUAUGCUUGAGAAAAUAUACAGAAUAUUUUUAAAGUAAAAAAUUAUUAUUCAUAUAAAAUUUAAUUUUUGUUAUAUAUGAUUGGAUAGUUUAAUCCAAUAUUCAUCUAUAUAAUUUAUUUAUUUUUGACUGUAUAAAUGAAAAUGAAUAAUAUGGAGAUUGAAGGCGGAAGAAAAGACAUAUGAGGCUGAAAAAAUUAGAUAUUCAACUCAUAAAUUAUUUUUUUCAUAUUAUAAAUAUAUAAUUAUUUUGUACUUUGAACUAUUAGACAUAUUUUUGUAUCAAAUUAUAGAUAAUGUUCUAUACAAAUUAAACUAUUGAUCGUAUGAUGUUGAGAAUUUCAAGCGGCUCGUUUAGGGCUCGAGCUCGCUCGACUCGAAAUUAGGCUCGCUCGAGCUCGGCUCGAAUUAAUUUCAAUCCAAUCUUGAGCUUAAAUUUAAGCUCGAAAUUAAUUUCAAGCCGAAUUUGAGCCCGGCUCGUUUCCACCCCUAGUCUCGCCUAUUUAACCACUUUCUGCAAUCCGUUUGUCUGGUCCUAGUCCUUGCUGUCUAAGUCAAUUAGAAUGAAGGAAGAUGGCGAAUGCCCAGUUAAUCACUCCGUCCAUACGUUUCACUAGCAGGGCCCGGACUGCGGAGGGCCAGCGGUGGUGGUGCUGCAGAAAACCGAUCGACGACCCCGCAAUUAACGGGAAAGGCAAACAAAAAAAAGGCAAAAAUGUCGGGCGUUGAGGUUGAAGUAUUGGCGUAUCGGGUGGGGUAGGGUGGUUUGCUGGUUGACUUUAAUUUGCUUCCCGAAAAACAGAAACGAGCUGGAUUUUAAAAAAAAAAAAACAGUAGGGCGGGGGGGAAGAGGAGACCCGGACAGGGAAAAGGGAAAUUUUUGCAAGAAAAAGAAAAAAAGGGGAAAAAAGAGGAAAAAGCAGGCAGGCAGAAAGAAAAGAGAGGAGGAGGAAAUUAAGAAGGGGGAGGAGAAAUGAAGGAAGGAAGGGUGGAGCAGCUGCUGGGGCUUCUAAAGGUGAAGGUGGUGAGAGGCGUCAACCUCGCCGUCCGAGAUGUCAGGAGCAGCGACCCCUAUGUCAUCCUCAGGAUGGGUAAACAGGUUAUUUACUUGCUUUACUUUCAUCCCUCUUCGACUUUCGCUAACCCUCCCUCUGCGUUCAUCUCUAUCACUCCCUCCUCUAUUCAUAUCCAAGUCUUGUUUUUUGUUUUUGUUUUUUUUAAAUGAAAUAAAGCUUUUCCGAUUCUUUUCCCCUUCUUGAUAUACGAUACGACUCUGCUAUAUUACCUAGUCUUCUUGAUGAGCAACAUUAAGUUCUAUAACCAAAAGGGGCGUCGCGUUUAUUUAUUAAUAAUUUUUUUUUGAGCUUUAAUUAUAAACAAAAGAGAUUAUAAGAUUAGUAGAAAAUGUGGACGGUUGGAUAUAGAGUUGUAAAAUUACAACCAACUUUUGGUUGGUGGGCGCUUUUGGCAGAUACCCAUAAGGUACCUUUUUUUUUUUUUUUUUUAAUCUUUUGCUCUUCUAUAUGCUGAAGGGGGAAACUCGUAACGGGCCUUCCUUUGUAUCUGAUCAUAUUUACCUGAUUGUUUAUUUGUUUGUUUUCGCUUUGUAUGUACAGAGCUUGUAAUGCAAUGCGGUUUUACUCAAAAAAAAAAAAAAAAACGAAAGGAAAAGAAAAGAAAAAUUUGACAAAUGGUUCUGAUGAGUUAACUUGAUAAUUAUCGACUUAUCCGAAAGUAUAUCGACUUAUCCGAAGUAUUCAUUCAUUAUUGCUCUUUUUGUUUAACCAUAUUAAAUUAUGAGUACUUCGGUGAGGAUUUGAAGCAAUGAGAGCUUCUCCUUUUCUUUUUAUUACCAAUCUAGUGUUACUGCUUAAUAUCUGGUCUGCGAUGCGAACUGAUUUUAUUAUCCAAGAACGAUUUGGGGCAGGUAAAGGGAAGAAAAUUGACCUGCCCCUAAUCCACUGCCAAGUUCCACUGCAAAUUUGCCUCGAAUUUUUCCAUAUUAUUACUUAAAUUUUAUGAAUUUCUUUGGAUUUUUCCCAAGCUUGUAUUGGAUUUUUAGUUGCUUCUUCAUGAAUGUAUUUUGAGAUUUAGUUGCCUUGCUGAUAUUUUAUUUUAUUUUAUUUUCGUUUUGAGUCAAAUAAUGUAGAUUGAAUUAUUUGGGUCAGAAUUCAUAUAAUAUAAAGAUGAGGAUGUGUAGUUAAUUGGUAGGAAGGAUUUGGGGCUUCAGAGAGAGGCUUAUUUCUAGGUAUUGGUUGUGACUUGUGUGGGUGGGGGUGUAAUGUGGGCCGUGCUUGGUCGGCACAGCCGCACAGCCCACAUUACCUGGGCCAAAACGGGCUAGGGGCUUGCUCGGGCUAGGCCGGGCUGGGCCGCAGUGUUGGGCUAGAUCUUCCAGGUUCCCGGCCUAGCACGGCCCUUCAGCCUGGAAGGCACAGGUCGAACCGUGUCGGGCCGGGCUUUGUUUUAGGCUGGUCCUUUAAUUUUUUUAUUUCUAAUUUUUUUUAAAGAAUCUAUAAAAUUUUAAAAUGUGAAAGAUCAAAAUAUUUUUAUUUAAACUAAUGUUUUGAUACAAAAUUUUAAAAUUUACAAGAAUAAUUGUAAAAUAAUCAAAAAUAUUAUUUUUUUUUAAAAAUUAUAAAAAAUUUAAAUUUUAAAAAAAGACUUAGUGUUUUGGUCCAAUGGGCCAAAAGUGUUUUGGUCCAUACCCGGUCUUCUAGACCUUGGGGCUGCGUUUGGUUAGAGAACUAAAUUUUGGAGAACAACUUUUGUUGUUCCCGAGAACAGGGGAUAUUCCGGUAUAAGAUAGAACAAGAUGUAAAUUACGUUUGGAUGUUGUUUGUUUGUUCCUAGAGAAUAUUCUUGAUAGUGUUUGGAUGUUUAUGUUGGAAUAAGGGGUUGGAAAGAUAAAAAUUAAAUAAAAUGACAAAUUUGCCCUUGAAUAUAAAAAUCAAAUAUGAUUUAAUAAAUUGAGUAUUAAAAUAAAUUAAUUUACAAAUUAAGUAUAUUUGUAUAUUAUUUUGAAAAUAUUAAUUUAGUAGUAUUCAAUUUAAAUAUUUUUUUUCGAAACUAAUUUAAAAUAUAAAUAUCUAAAAUGGAAUAGCACUUAUUAAAUUAAAUUAAUCAUUUAAUCGAUUUCUUUUAAUUUACUAAAUUAAAUAUUAAUAAGUCAAAAUAGUGUGGCUUUUAUAAAUAAAUAAAAUUUUCAAAAAAAAUCCUAAACACAUCCUAAAGGGUUAAAGGGCAAAAUGGUAAAGUAACUAAGCCUCCAAGUUGUUCCCCCUAAUUCUCCCAUUUGAGGAGAACUAGCUUAACGGGUUGUUCCUGGAACAACCCGUUAAGCCCGGAACAAGGGCCUUGUUCCAUUUUGCAUUGUGUUUGGGGGGAUAAAGAGGGAUAUCCCGUCUUGUUCUGGGAUAUCCCUCCAACCAAACACAGCCUGGGAGAAAAGCCUUGGGCCUGGGGGGUCGGGCCGUGCUAUGUCGGCCCACUUAGCACGACCCACGCUGGCCGGGCCAUGCUAGGCCGACGAGCCCAAGGGUAGCGGCACGGCACGGCUCAAAAUAAUAGGGCCUGGCCAGGUCGAACCGGCACGGAUACUGUGGCAUCCGUGCUGUGUUUUAGCCAGAUCAUAGUCUGUCCGUUUGACAUCUCUACUUGUGGGGAUCGCUAAUUUACCUUGACACAAAGGUUGCGCGGAAUACUUUGUGGGGCAUGAGGUAAUGUGGGCCUCUCGCCCGAUCGUCCAUCUCGUUUUCAUUCGUAGGGUGUACCCAACAAAAUCUGCUUCAACUAUCUCUAUAAGCACUGACCAUACCUAGCGUCAUUGUAUAAGGGUUUGAUUGUUGGUACCUGAGAUCCCAACAAGUUUGAAUUCUAGUUGCUUUACAUUUCUAGCUGAGUUCAUUCCUUAAAAUAAAAAAUGAACAAAGCCGGUAGUUUGCUACCUUUCUCUGUCUCUCAAGAAAAAGAAAACCCUAUAAGCCAUUUUCAAUGAUGUUUUUCCUUUCUUCUAAGGAUAUGCUAUUGCUACUUUUGCAUUAGACGAAACGGAGAAAUAUAAAAGUGGAACAAAUAAAAACAAGUCUCAUAACUUGUUUCUCUAUGUUAUUUAUUGAUGUGCUUAUAUAUGUCUAUGACCGUACAUUCAAAUAUCACAUAUUGCAAAUAAUUUUCUUCAUCCUUCAUUAACUGUUAUUUUGCGAAUAGCAUUGCUUGCUCAUGAUAUAAUUCGUUCAUAACAAUUUUAUUUGGAAUUUUUAUACUCCUGCAGGCAUUGGCGUUUCUUUAUUCAUUCAUAAUAGAAAGUAUUUGGUCUUUCUCAUAAAUGGUUAAAAUCAUUGCAAAGACAGCAUAUAAAUGAAGAUCAUUGUAAAAUAUAAUUGGGUUGAACCACAUACGGUCUAUUAAAAUCUUAACAGGACUGAACUAUUUUUGUAUAUAGCUCUAUUAGAAUAAGGACCAUGUGUAAAUUAAAAAUGUAGAAUUGACUCUCUUGGAUUCACGUCGGCACCAUGUUGGUCGGCAGAGGGUUUUUUUUUUUUUUUUUUUUUUCGUUUUUAGGUAAAUAUAUGGAUACCCCUCAACUAAAGGUCAUUUUGAAAUAGAGCCCUCCACGUUUAUAUUUUUUUUUAAAUUGAGACCUCAUCUUCCUUUUUUUUUUAAACUUGAGUUUUUAUACUUAGGUUAAAAUUUUACUCUAGUUUUAUUUGUUAAAAAAAUAACUAAAGUUACUAAAUUUGGUAAAAUUCCCAAUGAAUUUAUUAGAAUCCCCAAUUUUUUUAACUUAAAUUAUUUAACUCCAAAAUAAUUAAAAGCUAAGGGGUCCCAAUCAAAAACUAAUAGUUGAGGAUUUGGCUUCAAAAUGGCCUAUAGUUAAAGUUAAAAGCUAAAGGGUUCCGAAAAAAAAAAAAUAGUUGAGGAUUCAAUUUCAAAAUGGCCUAUAGUUGGGGGUGUCUCCAUUUAUUGUUACCUUUUUAUUUUAAGUUCAGCAAGCAAGGUAAAUUAGUUGGCGCGCUUGAAACACAGUAAACCAAUUUCCAGGCCCUAAUACGGCCAACAAAAUAUUGUUUUCCAUAUGAUAUUUUUAUUAUUAUGUUUCUUGACUUGUUACUCGCCAACCUUUGUAUAGUAAAUGUAAAACAAAGACAGUAAAUGAAAUAGCAUGUAUAGAACACGGUAUUUAGUUAACCAUGUUUCUGUGAGUUAUUUUGCGCAUUGUUAGUUAAGGCUAACACAGUGUCUACUAUACCGUGUUUCGUGACUCACCCUUCGUAAGCUGAUGUGCAAGAGCAAAUGACCAUUUGUCAGACUAUCAGUUUUAAAUUAUUAUUUGGCUCAUUGUUACACUGUAGUUAGUGUUAGUUUCAUUUGCUACAUUAUGCUUUAUUUUUUUUCAAAGACACUAUUGUCUUAUUAUAUUUUAUCAGUCUCUACACUAUAUUUUAGAUUUAUUUUCUUCUUACUACCUUACGUUAUAUAUCUAUUUUUUCUCAUAGAUAUCAUUGAACUUUUUUUUUCUCGCCAAUCUCUACAUUACCAUCAACAAACCUAUUAAGAUAAAAUCUAACAACUUUAUUUAAGAGGCACUGGUUAAAUAGUAUAAAAAAUGUAAAUGAAUCUCCAUGAUAGACUCAUUGAAAACUUCUAUCAAAUUAUUUUUAAGCGUAACUUAAAGGCUAAAUUACAGAAAACCUUCCUGUAAUAACCCGCUUUUUCACUUUCCCCCCCUGACAUUUAAAAACCUACACUUUGCCCCCCUGUAAAAUGAAAAAUGUUCACAGGGGGGUUACGGUGUGUAAAAUGACCAUUUUGCCCCUCGCCAUUGUCGUCUUCUUCCCCAUCUUCCUUAGCCGCCCCUUCGUUCGGCCGCGAUUUCUACCUCAAUCGGCCGCGAUUUCUCUCCAUUUCCUUCUCCACCUGCUCCCCUUCUCCUCCUGCACCCUCGCCGCCCUCGAUUUCGGCGACAGUAGGAGAAAACCGAGGUGGGCGACAGUAGGAGAAGGGCAAAGAAGGCGAAGGCGAAGCGGUAGAGGACGGCGAAGGGGAUGUGGGUGAGGGCGAGGCAGUGGAGGACGGCGAGGCGGCUAGGCGGCGAGGCGGGGACGAGGUGGCGAGCCGGAAGGAGUCGAAGCAACAGGGAGAUGGCGGAAGGGUAUUUUCGGCAUAAAAAUAUAUUUUUUAACGGAACCCUGACGGAACCCUAACGGUAGGGGGUGAAGUGCACAUUUUUUAUUUUACAGGGGGGCAAAGUGUAGGUUUUUAAAUGUCAGGGAGGGAAAGUGAAAAAGCGGGUUAUUACAAGGGGGUUUUCUGUAAUUUAGCCUAACUUCAAAUUGUCUUCCUGUGGUUUAGCUCAUUUUCACUUUGCCACUUUGGUUCAAAAAGUUUCUUUCCCUCUUGUGGUUUAAUUUUUAUUUAAUCAAAGAAUUCUAUAUGAAAUAGGGUGAUAAAUAAAAAUUUUUAGAAAACCACAGGUGGCAAAAUGAAAAAUGCACUAAAGCAUGGGGGCAAAGUGCAAUUUUUUGAAUCAUGGGGUGGCAAAGUGAAAAUGAGCUGAACCACAGGGGGGACAAAAUGAAACUUUUUGAACCAUGGGGUAGCAGAGAGAAAAUAAGCUAAACCACAUAGGGCAAUUUGAAGUUUACCUUAUUUUUAAUUACUUUUUUGUUGUUUUUAUAAGUUUUGUUAUUUUUAAUGUCAAAAUGAGUUGAAUAUAUGACUUGCCACUUUUAACCAGUAUUUUUUUUGCAGCUUUCAUGUUAAAUUAUAGAUUUAUUGAGGACCUUUUUUUUUUCUAAAUAAUGCUAUAAAAAUUUCUUGUUUGCCAAAUGAUUGUUCCAAAAUUUUGUUUGGUCAACUAACCCUUCUUUUGCUAACUCAUUAUAAUGUUGGACAAAAAUAAGGAAGACGGUAAAUCGUUCACCAUCUUUAGAAAGCGGCGAAUCAUUCACCAUUUUCAUAUUGUUAUAGUUUUUUUGAAUUGGUAGUGCGGAUUUUUGUGAGGCUAUUUGUGACACCCCAAUAGUCCCACAUCGGAUGGGAAUGGGGUUGUCAUUGAUUUUAUAAAAGAAGUUUGACACUAGUAAUAAUAAUUGGGCUUAAGCAUUUUGGGCUGGUGGUUGGGCCCAACGAUUUAUUGUUGCUAGUGGACUGGGUCGUUACAUUUGGUAUCAGAGCCAAUCACCAGCCGGAAAUGUGUGGCGAGUUCGGCUCAGUCAAGGUCUAAAAGACAAGGUGAUAGGCUAUGCCAGGGUCUGGAUGACAAGGCUAGCGGAUGAGUCUCACAUCGCCUGGUGAUCUUGGGUUGUGUGUGUAAUUGGACUGACGAGGAUAUCAGGUCCUUAACGGGGGGAGUCUGUGACAUCCCAAUAGUCCCACAUCGGAUGGGAAUGGGGCUGUAAUUGGGUUUAUAAGAGACUUAAACACUAGUAAUAAUAACUGGGCUUAGACAUUUUGGGCUGGUGGUUGGGCCCAACGAGUUAUUGUUGCUAGUGGGCUGGGUCGUUACACUAUUAGGAUUGUAUAUCAAUUACUAGAAAUUUUUUUUUGAUUGUUAUCUGUAUCGGUAAGUUGUUAUUUUUUUGGGGGUUGUUAGAAUUGUGUGUGAUUUGUUGAAAUUUUUAAUGUGGUUGUUAUGAUUAUAUAUGGAAAAUUGAAAAAGAAACGGUAAAUUAUUCACUUUUUUUUUUUUUUUUACGGGAGAGACAGUAAAUGAUUCAUCAUCUUCUAAAUUUUAUUAAAGAUGGUGAACGAUUCACCGUUGUCCAAUUGUUUUUCCACGUUUGCGUUGAGUUGGAUAAAAUAGGGUUAUUUGGUCAAAUAAAUUUUUUGCAGAAUCAUUUGGCAAAUUAUAAACUUUUAAAGAGUUAAAUUGAAAAAAAAAUCUGUUUAUUGCUUAUAGUGUAGGGAUUGAAAUUAAAAUCUGUGACACCCCAGUAGUCUCACAUCGGAUGGAAAUGGGAUUGUCAUUGAGUAUAUAAGAGGACUCCACCCUAGUAAUAAUAAUCGGGCUUGCAUUUUGGGCUGGUGGUUUUGGCCCAAUGAGUUAUUAUUGUUGGCGGGUCAGGUCGUUAUAUUUAUAUUCUGGUCAAAAACAAAACAAAGCCUUCUCUUCACCUACAGUCACUGUUGAGAUAGAAUUUGCGGUGCACUUUAGAAUUUGUGCUCUUUAAGACCGUAUCAGUUAUGCAGAUUGAAUGUUAUCUAUCCAAAGCUACCUGUUAGUUGAAUUGGGUAUUAAAGUGGCUUGAAUUUUGACAAUAUUUUGUUCUUGCACUAACUUUUUCUUUGUUUCCUGUGAAAGAAUAAUCAUCUUGAAGAAUUACUAUAUAUGCAAUGUCAUCUGUACCUUUGGUUAAUUUAAGUGACAUGAUAAGAAACUAUUACUGUUCUGUUAGACUCUUACUGUAGAAAAAGAUAUCACUUGAUUGUGAAGAGCUCAACCAGCCGUUCUCUUACUGUAGAAACUAUUACUGUAGAAAAAGAUAUCACUUGAUUGUGAAGAGCUCAAGUAGUCGUUCUCUCAACUCUCCAUAUCUGUAUCUCUUAUCUUUAUAUGCAUUUCUGCAGAAGCUCAGGACUCGAGUGAUAAAGAAGAACACGAAUCCAGAGUGGAAUGAAUAUUUAACUCUUUCUGUUGAGGAUCCUGCUCUCCCAGUUAGGCUUGUAUGUACCUACCUCUUUUUAACAGACAUUUCAAUAACUUUCUUUGUUUUGAAUUUAUAUGCAAAAGAUAAAUAUUCCAAGAUAUUGUGCUAGUUAUUUUAUUUAUUUAUUAGUAUUAUUAUUACUACGCUUAUUAUUAUUUUUUGUAUAUAAUGCUGCCACUGGUGGAGGAAGCUCCUCUUAAAUCUUAACUCAAUGGUACAUUGACUAAAAAAGUGGAUGUGUGCUUUUAGUUUCCUGUGCCUAAAUGAACCAUUUGCAAUAUAAAGUCCAUUAAAUUUCUUCAGUAAAAUGAAGAAGAAGAAAAAAAAAAUUCAGUAAUAUGAAGAUAAUCUCAAUUUUGAGUCUCUGACGUAUAAUCCAUUGUUUGACUUUUGAAUGUGUAGAGGAACUUACUAGUUGUCAUAAACAAAAUGUAAGUACGAGUGAAAUGUUUAAUGACUUUUAACUCUGAGUUAGUAAGAGCUCUCUAUUUUAGGUUUCUUUUGUCACAGUUUUGAAGAAAAUAGAUCUUCUGCAGGGAACAUGGAUACUUGGUUAUUUAUUAAUGAAGAGAAAAGUUAAAAGUUAUCCUUGCCUUCUACUUGCUCCUAAUAAGGAUACAACUAGUUUCAGCCUAGGUUAUUUUAGUGGAACUGUUGGUAAACAGAGAAAUGAAGGAAAAAGGUAUUAGGGCUUAAUUUCCAUAACCCUAAAACCAAUACAUAUAUUAUGUGACAUUUUACAUAUAAAACCCUGAAAAGAAUAAAAAUUAUUAUACUAGUUAACACUCCCCCUUAAGAUGGUGCAUAGAUAUUUCUUAUGCCCAUCUUUAUACAAUAGAAUUGAAUGACAUACUCCCCAAUCCUUUAGUUAAAAUAUCUGCUAGUUGGUUCUGUGACUUAACAAAUGGAAUGCAGAUGACCCCUUUGUCCAGCUUUUCUUUAAUAAAAUUUCUAUCAACUUCUGAACUUCAACAUGUUUUGUCCUGUCAUGUUGUACUGGAUUAUGUGCAAUGUUAAUAGCUGCCUUGUUGUCACAAUACAACAUUAGUGGUGUAGUAUUCUGUAGUCCGAACUCCCACAUAAAUUUUUUAAUCCAAAGCAACUCGCAAGUGCCUUGUGCCAUUGCUCUAUAUUUUGCCUCUGCACUUGAUCUGGCAACAACUGUUUGCUUCUUGCUUCUCCAGGUGACUUAGUUACCUUCUACAAGUGUGCAAAAACCCGAUGUAGAUCUCCGAUCAUCUAGAGAGCCAGCCCAAUCUGCAUCAGUGAAUGCCUCAAUCUAGCCAGCCCAAUCUGCAUCAGUGAAUGCCUCAAUCUUCAGGUUACCAUGGUUUAGAAAUAGAAGCCCUCUUCCUGGAGCUGAUUUUAGGUACCUCAAAAUACAAUAAACUACUUCCAAGUGUGAUUUUCUAGAAUCAUGCAUAUACUGACUCACUACGCUUACAACAUAUGCUAUGUCUGGCCGAGUGUGGGACAGAUAAAUCAAUUUUCCAACCAACCUUUGAUAUCUCUCCUUAUCAACUACUUCUCCUACUUCAGCUUUCAAGCGAUGAUUUGGCUCAAUUUGUCACAGCCCGCGACCCCCCGCCUAUUUGGCCGAGGUCGCGGCGCCGCUAGUGCCGAACGGACAGGGUUUCCCCUGUACUACGGACAGAGUCUCCCCUGUACGUUCAAGGCAACGCAAUCAAUACAAUACGAGGGUUUCAACCAGGAACUGAUAUCAAUCAAGAUUGCAUAAUGGAAGGUACAAAACAAUAUAAACACAUCCUAAGUUAUUACAUUCAUUCACAUUCAUGCAUUUUACAUCUCAAUUCUCAAUUGCUUUAACUUCCAAAUACAAUCUAAGUAGUACAUCGUUUACUUAUUACAAUUUGAUACAUUUACUUUCUUUUCAUUUCCUUUACCCCUAAGCUUUGUAGACGGGGUACUGCUAGCUCUGGUCUCCGGGGUAGGGCGCUAUCUACGGAGCUACGCCCUUUCCUCGCGCCGCCGCGCCGCUCACGUACGAAC